This 97-nucleotide microRNA precursor is filed under the name Paramuricea clavata. The record is from RNAcentral. Lineage: Eukaryota; Metazoa; Cnidaria; Anthozoa; Malacalcyonacea; Plexauridae.
CAAAGUUGAUCGUGUUUAUGACGUCGAUAUUCGACGACAUAAACACGAAAUUUGAUGGUGUUUAUGACGUCGAAUGUCGACGUCAUAAACACCAAAC